RNAcentral lists this ribosomal RNA (450 nucleotides) under uncultured bacterium. Its description in RNAcentral is "bacterial SSU rRNA". It matches the Rfam family "Bacterial small subunit ribosomal RNA", at positions 354 to 796 of the family's 1533-position model. The record is from RNAcentral.
GUGGGGAAUCUUGCGCAAUGCACGACAGUGUGACGCAGCAACGCCGCGUGGGGGAAGAAGGCUUUCGGGUCGUAAACCCCUUUCAGGAGGGACGAAGCUUCGGCAGCGAAUAGCUGUCCGGAGUGACGGUACUUCCACAAGAAGCCCCGGCUAACUACGUGCCAGCAGCCGCGGUAAUACGUAGGGGGCAAGCGUUGUCCGGAAUCAUUGGGCGUAAAGAGCGCGUAGGCGGCCAGAUAAGUCCGGUGUGAAAGUCACAGGCUCAACCUGUGAAUGCCGCUGGAAACUGUCUGGCUAGAGUCCGGUAGGGGCGAGUGGAAUUCCUGGUGUAGCGGUGAAAUGCGCAGAUAUCAGGAGGAACACCAAUGGCGAAGGCAGCUCGCUGGAACGGUACUGACGCUGAGGCGCGAAAGCGUGGGGAGCGAACAGGAUUAGAAACCCUAGUAGUCC